GGACGAACGCUGGCGGCGUGCCUAACACAUGCAAGUCGAGCGAGGAGAUUCCUUCGGGAUGAUCCUAGCGGCGGACGGGCGAGUAACACGUGGGCAACCUGCCUCAUAGAGAGGAAUAGCCUUCCGAAAGGGAGAUUAAUACCUCAUAACAUUGCAGUUUCGCAUGGAACAGCAAUUAAAGGAGUAAUCCGCUAUGAGAUGGGCCCGCGGCGCAUUAGCUAGUUGGUGAGGUAACGGCUCACCAAGGCGACGAUGCGUAGCCGACCUGAGAGGGUGAUCGGCCACAUUGGGACUGAGACACGGCCCAGACUCCUACGGGGGGCAGCAGUGGGGAAUAUUGCACAAUGGGGGAAACCCUGAUGCAGCAACGCCGCGUGAGUGAUGACGGCCUUCGGGUUGUAAAGCUCUGUCUUCAGGGACGAUAAUGACGGUACCUGAGGAGGAAGCCACGGCUAACUACGUGCCAGCCGCCGC
Molecule: ribosomal RNA, 474 nt
Filed under: uncultured bacterium
Lineage: Bacteria
Description: bacterial SSU rRNA
Rfam family: Bacterial small subunit ribosomal RNA
Source: RNAcentral